This 254-nucleotide ribosomal RNA is filed under the name uncultured bacterium. RNAcentral describes it as "partial 16S ribosomal RNA". It matches the Rfam family "Bacterial small subunit ribosomal RNA", at positions 1246 to 1500 of the family's 1533-position model. The record is from RNAcentral.
GAAGCGAGACGGAGACGUUAAGCGAAACCCAAAAAAGUAAGUCUCAGUUCGGAUUGAAGGCUGAAAUUCGCCUUCAUGAAGCCGGAAUUGCUAGUAAUGGCAGGUCAGCAUACUGCCGUGAAUACGUUCCCGGGCCUUGUACACACCGCCCGUCACACCAUGAGAGUUGGGAAUACCCGAAGCCUGUGAGCUAACGUAAGAGGCAGCAGUCGAAGGUAGAAUCAAUGAUUGGGGUGAAGUCGUAACAAGGUAUC